ACUCCUACGGGAGGCAGCAGUAGGGAAUCUUGCGCAAUGGGCGAAAGCCUGACGCAGCGACGCCGCGUGCGGGAUGACGGCCCUAGUGGUUGUAAACCGCUUUCAGCAGGGACGAAAAUGACGGUACCUGCAGAAGAAGUCCCGGCUAACUACGUGCCAGCAGCCGCGGUAAUACGUAGGGGACAAGCGUUGUCCGGAUUCAUUGGGCGUAAAGAGCUCGUAGGCGGUUCAGUAAGUUGGGUGUGAAAGCUCCGGGCUCAACCCGGAGAGGCCACUCAAUACUGCUGUGACUAGAGUCCAGUAGAGGAGCGUGGAACUCCUGGUGUAGCGGUGAAAUGCGCAGAUAUCAGGAAGAACACCGGCAGCGAAGGCGGCGCUCUGGGCUGGUACUGACGCUGAGGAGCGAAAGCAUGGGUAGCAAACAGGAUUAGAUACCCUGGUAGCUACGAGU
This 451-nucleotide ribosomal RNA is filed under the name uncultured bacterium. Its description in RNAcentral is "bacterial SSU rRNA". It matches the Rfam family "Bacterial small subunit ribosomal RNA", at positions 335 to 800 of the family's 1533-position model. The record is from RNAcentral.